UACGUAGGGGGCAAGCGUUGUUCGGAAUUACUGGGCGUAAAGGGCGCGUAGGCGGCACUGUUAGUCAGGCGUGAAAUUCCUGGGCUCAACCUGGGGACUGCGCUUGAUACGGCAGAGCUAGAGGAUGGAAGAGGCUCGCGGAAUUCCCAGUGUAGAGGUGAAAUUCGUAGAUAUUGGGAAGAACACCGGUGGCGAAGGCGGCGAGCUGGUCCAUUACUGACGCUGAGGCGCGACAGCGUGGGGAGCAAACAGG
RNAcentral lists this ribosomal RNA (253 nucleotides) under uncultured bacterium. Its description in RNAcentral is "partial 16S ribosomal RNA". It matches the Rfam family "Bacterial small subunit ribosomal RNA", at positions 524 to 776 of the family's 1533-position model. The record is from RNAcentral.